AACGAACGCUGGCGGCAGGCUUAACACAUGCAAGUCGAACGCGUGUAGCAAUACACGAGUGGCGCACGGGUGAGUAACGCGUGGAUAUCUGCCUUUUGGUUCGGAAUAACUCCGGGAAACUGGAGCUAAUACCGGAUGGUUCCUACGGGAUAAAGAUUUAUCGCCAAAAGAUGAGUCCGCGUACGAUUAGCUAGUUGGUGAGGUAAUGGCUCACCAAGGCGACGAUCGUUAGCUGGUCUGAGAGGACGAUCAGCCACACUGGGACUGAGACACGGCCCAGACUCCUACGGGAGGCAGCAGUGGGGAAUAUUGGACAAUAGGGGGCGGAACCCUACGAUCCAGCCACUGCCGCCGUGAGUGAUGAAGGCC
Molecule: ribosomal RNA, 369 nt
Filed under: uncultured bacterium
Lineage: Bacteria
Description: bacterial SSU rRNA
Rfam family: Bacterial small subunit ribosomal RNA
Source: RNAcentral